CGGUCGGCUGCUGGGAAGACGGAAUCGCUUACCUGGCUCGUUCCCGUACUUCUAUCCCAACAGACUGUGACACCCCGAGAUGUUAAAGCUGUCAACUUUUCUUUGUAAAUGUUUCUACCCAGGAAGACAGUAUGUCACCCACCAAGAAGCCUUCUGAGCGCAUUCCUCCGAAGCAGCAGAAGCGGGAAGGUUUGCAGGAAAUACAACAAUGGGUAUGCCUCCAGUAAUACUUUAUUCCUUUCUCCUUUAUCUACAGUUAUUUUUCAUAUUGUACAGUCUAUUGAGUUAGGUUCAGUGCCUGUCUCGGCCAAAAUAAUGCAACUUCAGUAAACCAAAAAAACCAAAAAACCAAAAAACCAAAAAACAAAAAAAACCCUCUGGAUUGCUUACCUUUGAUACGCCUGAGGAGAGGCAGGGGGUGUAUUGAACACGUGUGAGUAUGGGUGGUAAGGUGUCUUUUUCAAAGCCUGAAUUAGAUUUUGUCUAUACUCUGGGUCUAUGCACCACAAUGACCCUUUCCCAAUGCUCUGCAAAGAAAAUGAAAACAUAAAAAUGAUUAAUAGAAGAAACACCCAGGAUUCGGCAGCAAGUAGAUGAAUCACAAUUACCUCAGUUACUUAUUUUUAAGAGCCUCUCGCUUAUUUUUUGGCGUUUGCUAGCCAGAAAUACGGGAUAUCGUACCCUGACAAUCAGCACCAUAAAACGCACUUCAGCCUUACCUGGAUUAAGUCUGACAGACGAAAUGAACAUGUUAUUACCAGGUGAUGCUGAUACAAUAAUAUUGUAAUUUUCCUACCCUGCCGGCCCCCAAACUCAGACUCCUUUAUUAUUUCUCAGUGUCAACUCUGAAGGACGUAUGUAUUCUCUUCUAGAAAAUGAGUUUUAGAUUUGUCAGAUUUCAAAUGUGGAAAGCAAAAGAGGGCUGGGUACCUCAAGACUCCCAUCUCCACUAUAAAAAAAAAUGCGAGGGUUAUGUUUUCGAGCCAUAUUAUUUCGGUACCACUUCACAAAAAAAACAGAAAAGGAAUCGACUUGUUUUUUUCCUACUUACAAAAGAAUGACAUUUAAGCUUCCAAUGGAAUUCUGUAAUUACCUUCCCCAAGAAACAAAAGAACUCAGGCAGCAGCGGUUAAACCUAAGCCAGAAGCCAGUAGUUAUUUUCUGGAUGCCGCAGUUCAUAGACCUAAAGGAGUCGAAUCUUUACAAGUCCAACUUUAGAAUGCAAAUUUUCUAAAACUGGUUCCAUGGAAAGACUUGCUCUGAGGCCCACUUUUGGUCUGUGGACAGCAUUUUUAUUAAAAAAGAAAAGUUAAGUCCUUCCUGAGAGGCCCACUGAACUGGCAGUGUGGCGACAGGCAGUCGCUACUCCAACUGUAUGCUUUCAAAAGUGACCGAAUGUACCCAAGCGGUUUGAUAAGGUCGUUUGUAAAUAUUUACUGAUUUGGAGAGAAAAGAAGUCAAAUUACAUAAACCCGCGCCCACCCCAUGCUUGCAGCCAAGGGACUGACUCUCUUAUUUUCAGAACUAUUGUACUACAGGAACAUUCAGAAAGCAAACAAUAAAACUGUUUAACUAUUAGAGAGGGGAAAAACUCCAAGAAAAUCCCUUACAAGGAAAACAAAAAUUAAGUUAUUCCUAAAACCUUUCUUUUUCCUAAUGUUUUUUUUUUUUUUUUUUUAAUUUAUUUUUGAGACAGAGAGAGAGAGAGAGCAUGAGCAGGGAAGGGACAGGGAAAGAGAGGGAGACACAGAAGCCGAAGCAGGCUCCAGGCUCCGAGCUGUCAGCACAGAACCUGACACGGGGCUUGAACGCAUGAACCGUGAGGUCGUGACCUGAGCCGAAGUCGGACGCCCAACCGACUGAGCCACCCAGGCGCCCCUAUUCCUAAAAUCUUUAAAGAGGCUUUUAAAAAUUUGUAUUUCGGUCAUGAGUUCACCAAGUAGUUUACUCACAAACUUAUUCGCAGAACCCAUUAGAAUUCUUUACUAUCACAACAUCAGUGAGCAGUGGAUCUGGAAUUAACUCUUUCUGGUGCCCUAGGAACAGAGAAUUGCUCAAAGCCAAGAAGAGAAGGGGGGCUGGAGCCUCUGGUCACCCCACCCUCCGCGCCCAGGGUGCAGGCCUGAGCCCAAACACGGGUCCCAGUCAGGCCGACCAGCCUAAGCUGAACACCAACGUUCCAGUUUCACCAUCUGGAGGUCUAAAGACAUGAAAAAUGUCAACUUUGAAAAAUCCAACGUCCUUAAGUGGCCUUUCCUUCCAUGUGUACAUUUUCAAACCCGGAACAGUUUAGGGGCAUGGAUGAGACUUUCCCAGUAAAGCAGGCAGGCCACCAAAUGAGCUGCCAGGUUGGAAAAGAGAUGCAAAGCACACUUUCUAGAAGAGGGAGGGGCAGACCGGUAACUACCAAAUUUGGAUGACGUGAAACAAACCAAAAGCUAGUAACUCCUGGGCAGAUGGGGGGGUCCUGGCCUGAUUCCACCAAAGGCUCCCUGUGGAGCCCCGUGCAGUGAGCCCUGCAAGGCCCCUAACCAGCAACCUGGGGAGGCCAGGACCCUCGUGCAACCCAAACAUUUCUGCAACGGAGAUCAUCUCUGUUCUGGGAACCUAACUGCUUUUGUUUUCAUCAAACAAAAAAAAAAAUUGUUUUGUGGCUCUCAGGGUGGGGCCGUCUAUUCUUACAGGGAAUAAAAUUAUGACAAAGAAAUGGAGGACAACUGGCCCUCUUGGGCAAAUAACAAUAAGCCAAGAAUGUGGUUUCUCCUAACCCUGACCUAAGUAUCUUUUUUAUUACACUACAUUACUAUUUACCAACUACAUGGAAAAAACCCACAGGUGCCGGGAAGGGGGAGGUUGCAAGGUAAGUGAUCCAGGUGCAAGAAAGCAGGGGGAGGUACAGUCAGAACUAGGAAUUCUGCAGCCAGAGAGACGCUUCCUGUGUGGUCCUGGGAAAAUCAGGGUCCCCAGGAAGUCUUGGCUUCCUCCUUGGCAAAACAAAGACCCCCUCCGCCAGGGAUGGGUGUGAGGGCCAGCAAUGGCAUGAUGUAAACACCUGUAACAGGUGCCUAGAGGUACUCAAUAACGGUGGAUGACGUCACGAACGUCUCCUUUCUGACAGCAUAAAGGGAGCAAGGCUGGCUCGCCAAUGCCUUUUGCUAAAUCAAAUCUGACUUUCCCAAAGCCGACCCUCAUAAAAGCAGCACCAAGUUCCAAGUGGCAGUGGGAGGAGCCGCCAGCAGAUUCACAGGUACUGUUGGUCCGGGCUCAGCAAACCCACCCUGAAGAGCUCUUCUGCUUUCUACGAUGCUCCCUUUAUUUCCAUCCGUGCCCCCACCUGCCUUCUAUGCACCACCUGUUCUAUGUACUCGCUACCGUAACUCCUCCCAUGCUCAGAAAGCCAAUUCUGACUCACAGGAGCCUAGCUGCUAGAAGUUUUCUUUUACCCGGGUCUUAAGGGGUGACCACCAAGCCCAGGUUUAAUUUCAAGCUGGUCGGCACAUAUUUGCAACGUUCAUUCACUGCAGACGGUUGCCCAGGCUUUGGGUCAUAAUGAUUCCUCCCUUGAUCAGUUCUGCAUUUCACUGGGAGAGAGACGCGGGAUGGCUGAUUGGUUUUCACAGACCAGACGUGAAUGUCAAUAUCUCGUACUUAGAAUUUCCAAAGGGAGAAAAACAAACAACAAAAAAAGCAUCUUUGGGACACACCCAUGGGGACACUCAUCUGUCUACUCCAAUGACUGUAGAGCUUGAAAGGAACAGAAAGUGUCUGGCAUUGCAUCUCGUGCAAAUAUCCUCCUUGGUCUCACGUAACAGUUCAGAAGAGUAAAAAGGGUGACUUGAAAAAAAUUUUAAUGGAAAUAUGCACACAGAGAAAUACUCAAGUUUCUUAGGCCAGGAAAAAUUACAUUUAAUGUCCCUAACAGGGGAAAGGCAGCUGAAAUUUGAUCAUAGCUGUAUAAUACAUUUAGAGUCAGGGCUUUUACAGAAAUUUCUGCAUCCUCUCUGAAGAAUAGGGAUUUUUUUUUUUUUUGCUGUGACAACUGUGGGAGCCAUGCAUCAAUUAGGGUUAAGGAAUUCUAAAUAAUAAGAAAGAUCUUCAUUCAGAGACACAUUUUUGUGUAUAUGCAUUCUUUAAGAUGACAUUUAUAUACCUACGUGUAUAUAGAGAGGAAAAUGUCUCCGAAUGAAGAUCUUUCAUACACACACAUAUAUAGCUCGAAAAAAACUAACGUGAAAAAGUAGAGGGAAAAAAAAUAGAGUACGAAGAUACAGAUGAGGCCAAGUUUUGUUUUUUAAUUAAAAAGCACCUGGAGAAUAAUAGACAUCUCCCUGUUAGCAAUAAAAAACACAUCAGUACCCAAGAAGAAAAAAAGACAAGAGCCUGUAUCGUAGAAAGAACUGAUUAGUUAGAAAGGUUAAAAAAGAGAGAGAGAGAUAAGAACAACAACUAAAUUAAGUCUUAAAUCUAACUUCUAAAGAUAACAUUUUCUCCGAGAUGUCUCUAGCAGCUCGUGAAUCUGUCCCCCGCCCCCAUCCCCACCCACUCCCGCUACAGUAAUUUGGACCUGCACACAGCACUUGUCUGUCUGUCUGCCUUACAUACGGGUCUUCAUCUGUGGGCUCUGCACUAGGUUGUGAAUCCCUGAGGAUAAGUACCAAAUUUUAAAGAUUAUUUUCAAACUGUGGGCUGUCACAUUAAUAGGUCCUGAAAUCGACGUAACAGGUCACCACCAGCAUUGUGUUAAUGGAACAGAACAGAACCAAACAGAUCAGACUAGAAAACAUGUGUAGUAAAGUGGUAUUUUGUGAAAUGGGCAUGUGUCUAUGCAUGGAGCACAACAGAUCACAAGGUAACAUACACUUCUUACUUGGAUUCUGGGUCAAAGAAGUAUGGUCAACACUGGUCUAGGACAACAAUUCCCCCCACUCCCCCCCCCCCCCCCCCCGCGCCCAUGCCCCCUUCUCAUUAUUUCUGAGGGAUAAAGCCCGCUUCCAGCAGUAAUGCAGGACUCUCCCAUGACAGCCAAUGCAGAGGAGAGGAGCCGUCCUUGGGAAAGGGAGAUCAUAAGGCGGGAGCCAUGUCAAUUUGGAGCAGGGAGCUGGAUAGAUGUUCUCGGUGCAUUUGAAAUGAUUCUUCUUGAUGUUUCUGAUACGCCAUUUCCGAGGGUGUUUCCAACACCACCUACCCUUGUUCAUUCCCUCCUCCAUACGGCACCCACUCCACGCCAGGUGCCAUGGGGGUCACACUAGUGACUACACACAAUGCAAAAAGGUGCUACUCUCUUGAAGCUUGGAUUCAAGUAAGACAGCAAGUAAGGAAGUGAAGAGAUAAAUAAGCAAGAUCAUACAGACAGACCGUAAUGCUUGCCGUGAAGGAAAUAACGAGCAAUGGGUCUGAAGACUGGAACUUGCCACCAUAGGAAGAAUAAAUGGGUUGGAAGGUCUGUUAUGAGCUGAUGCCACAGCCUGGGCCUGAAGUGGCCAGGUGGCAGCAGAGGAGGAGGAGAAAGAAGGACAGCUUCAGGAUGUAUUCUGGAGAACCACCUGGUCCUGGCAAUGGAUUAGAAGUGGCAGGUAAAGAGGAAAGAAGAAGAAUGGUUCAGUUUGUGCAACGAAUUGGGUCAAAGAUCGGGAGGGGGAAAAUCUGGUGCUCAUCUGAACAUAUAACCUUUGACCUGUCUAUGAAUUAAGAACAGCUGAUCGCGGUACUCGAAUGACGUUGCUGGACGCCCAUUACCUCUCUUCCCUCUGUUGUAGACCCACUGACCAUUCCCCCCCCCACCCCCCGUUUAUAGCAAAAGCUCAGUGAUGUAGAAAGGUAGAUCUACGGCGGGCUGCCUUUCAAGGUUUAACAUCAACUGAUUUUCUACAGCUGAUUCUUCUACAGCAGGGGCCGGUCAGAGGAAAUGUGUUAGUCGUUGAAGGCCACGCAGUCUCUGUUGCAACUACUCAACUCUGCCGUUGUCCAACAAAAGCAACCACAGACUGUGGCAACCGCAGAUGUGGCUGUGCUUCCGUAAGACUUGAUUUAUAAAAACACAACCCACCGUUCACCGGCCCCUGUCCCACCGCUCCUAUACUCGAACCCAGGGCUCAGACUCUAAACUCCUGAAGCUGUGGGAACCGAAAACCAGGUGAGGAGUCUUCAGGGGCUAGGAGAGGUGGGCUGGUGCUGUGGGAUGGGGGAGGGGGAAGUCAAGAGCUUGAAGGCAGGAAAGGGGGUCACGCGGAGGGCGGGGGAGGAGGAGGUGCAGAUGGGCUAAGUCACGACACGAAUACAACUCGUUGAGCCGACACAGCUCCCUCUGAUUCUCUGGGUCUCAGUUUCUCCUCUUUAAAGUAGAUGGUCAGACUCAGUCAUCCCACAGGCUCAUACCCUUAAUGCUGUGAGAAUGUGUUGCUACAGACUCGUUAGUGGACACGGGCCUUCAUCUCUCUGUCUCCUUCCUGGCGUUUUACUCACUUGUAGCUUUUAUAAACGGGGAGCCCCCAGAGUUGACAUUUGUCACCCAGUUGCCAUUCUAACCCAACAUGAACAAAGUUGUCCUGGGAUCUGAAGGCGGGCUUAAAAAUCGUCUGGAAACAGCUUCUGCUGUAUGUAGCCUCCCUAGAGCUGGUCCCAGGGCACAAGAAUGUUUCCACCCCUCACCCCCCCCCACCCCUGCCACUCCUCCUCUACUCUGGAGCUGACUCCUGUGCAGGCUCCUCAGGGACAGGCUGGCAUAAAGAAGGGAGAGAAAGGAGGGGGAGGCUAGUGGAGGACCGGCAGGUGCUGCUACUCUCCUGGUUGCAAGUUCCCUCCUUCCCCAGAAAAGCCAUCCUUGGCCCCUAGACAAGGCCGAAUCCAGACUUGAACAGGUCACAAACCUGGCCCAACUUCCCUGGGCCUAAUCAAAGAAUCCCCCUUGGGCCUUUGGCUCUCAUUCUGAAGCAGGUCAUUUGACACUUGGGAUCAUGAUACACCAUGACAUAAAGACAGGGUCCACUUUUUAGGGUGCAGGACCCCCCCCCACCAGAGGAAGACAAACAAUAAACAACUCUGGAAGACUGCGUAAGCUAACCCAAGGGCUACAGGACAACAGAGGAGAAAGAGGAGCCCCCCCCACACAGUCCUAGGUCAGCCCCUCCCGCAGACCCACUCAAGUGCACAACACACACACACACACACACACACACACACAGUCCUCGACCAGCCCCUCCUGCAGACCCACUCAAUGCUCACACCCCCUGUGCAGGGCAGCCCCCCAGCAGAACACGCAGCCUCUCAGAGACGGUUCUCACCUUCCCACCAAGCCCCCUACACAGUCUCUCUCCCUUGCGUUCGCACUUCCUGGGCCUGUCGAGAUGGUGAAAGACAAAUACGCCCAUGUGCCCGUGAGAGGGGCCAGAAGCAAUGCCAGGGCUUUCCUGGGGAGCAUUCCAGAAUGCAUCCCACACGUGGCUCCGAAUCAACUGAGGGAUUGAACCUGUACGGUUCUUGUCUACACUGCUACCCUGCUGUGUUACUGGAUAUAAACCACUUGUCCUCUCAGACUGGCAGCUUUUUCACCUCCACAUUAGAGGUAAUACUAUCUUCUCCGAGUCACGUUGGGCCUAAAUGUGGUCAUGCGUAGAAUGUACCUAACACUGUACCCAGUACUUAAAAGCCAGUUAAUCAAUUCAAUUCUCCUCUCUGUCAAAGGAAGUCACAGGAGAAGCCGGGUGAUACUAAAAAAAGAGACAGAGAGAGAACAGAGAAAAGUUAUGCUAACAGAUGACCAUGACCUCGUACCCCACCAAAAUGCUUGGCAAAUGAGUGAUUCGUAGAGGCCCUUUUUGUUCUAAAAUUCUGUCGUUUAUAAUCUAAAGACAUCAAGGGGGAUUUUUAAAUUUUAAAAUACGAAGCAAAUGAUCUGAGGAACUAGCCCAGUACAUGAAAGAGAGAGGCAGAAAGAGAAAGAACAAAACUAAUCACGGAGAAUUUUUAUCCAGAGAGAUGGCUGUUCAUUUCCCACAACAAAACAGACCACUGCUCCGGAAGAAAGAUUUUUUUUUUUAACGUUUAUUUAUUUCUGAGACAGAGAGAGACAGAGCAUGAACAGGGGAGGGGCACAGAGAGAGGGAGACACAGAAUCGGAAGCAGGCUCCAGGCUCUGAGCCAUCAGCACAGAGCCCGACGCGGGGCUCGAACUCACAGAGCACGAGAUCGUGACCUGAGCCACCCAGGCGCCCCAGGAAGAAAGAUUUUAAAAAGAGAAGUCACGUCAGACACUUGGAUCUCCCUAACAACUUUGCAGCGUUGUCCUGGUUUAAAUGCCCCACUGCGUUCUCCCCUCUCCCUCUCUCUCCCCCCCCCCCCAAAGGAAGAGGGAUGAAAAAAGAGAAAUUACACCCCUGGUCCAGACAGAAGUUUCUCUCAACCCACCCCCUGUGCCUCAGUCCUGCUCCACCCCGAGGGGGGGCGGGGGGGGGGAGCCCCUGCAGGCAGGGAGGGCAGACCCCGAGGGCUUCGAGGACCGUGCCAGCCUACUGGCAUCAGGAGCUGGAAACAGAGCCGCUGAUGGUCACAGCCACCGAA
RNAcentral lists this long non-coding RNA (8556 nucleotides) under Lynx pardinus (Iberian lynx). The record is from RNAcentral. Lineage: Eukaryota; Metazoa; Chordata; Mammalia; Carnivora; Felidae.